RNAcentral lists this unclassified non-coding RNA (4903 nucleotides) under Hevea brasiliensis (rubber tree). The record is from RNAcentral. Lineage: Eukaryota; Viridiplantae; Streptophyta; Magnoliopsida; Malpighiales; Euphorbiaceae.
UCUCUCUCUCUCUCUCUCUCAUAACUCUUCCUCCUCUAGAAAAACGCGUUCUUUGGUUUCGCUUCUUGUUUUUACGUUUCUCGUUGUAGACUCUCUUUUUCUAUUUCUUUUUCUCUUUCUAACGGAGUUUGAGGCAAUGUGAGCUUGUAGAAUCCCAGAAAUGCGUUCUUGUUUCUGUUAUUUUGGAAUGUGUUUUCUUAGGGAAUGAUUUGAAGCUGUUUCUAUUGAUCUGUUCCCAGAGCUUGAGCUUCUCUUUCAAUUUUCAGUGCUAGGGUAUUUUUUGAUAGGAAACUGUGCACAUUUUGGUUUUGUCUUGUUUGGCUUUUCAAGGUGGUCAUGCGAGCUUCAGAUUUUUUUCAAUUGAUUGUUUAAUGGUGUUUGAAUAAUGCCUAGCAUUAGAGCUCCGGCUACCAAGAGAACCACAACCCUCACGGUUGCUGUCAAGUGCAGACCUUUAACGGAGAAAGAACGUGGUCGCGACAUUGUCCGUGUUAAUGACAAUAAGGAGGUGAUUAUUCUGGAUCCUGACCUGUCAAAGGACUACCUUGAUCGCAUACAGAAUCGAACUAAGGAGAAGAAAUAUUGUUUCGAUCACGCCUUUGGUCCUCAUUGUACAAAUUUGGAUGUAUACAAGAGAGGUAUAUCUUCUAUAGUCUCUGGGGUUGUUCAAGGUCUAAAUGCUACCAUCUUUGCCUAUGGUUCAACCGGAAGUGGUAAAACGUAUACAAUGGUUGGGACCCAAGAAGAUCCUGGACUUAUGGUUCUCAGUUUGCAUACAAUUUUUGCUCUUAUAAAAAAGGAUAAGAGCUCUGAUGAAUUUGAAGUCUCUUGUUCCUACCUUGAAGUCUACAAUGAGGUUAUAUAUGAUUUACUUGAGAAAUCAUCAGGUCAUUUGGAACUCCGAGAGGAUCCACAGCAAGGAAUAAUGAUUGUUGGGCUGAGGUGUAUCAAGGUUCAUUCAGCUGAUAAGAUUCUUGAAUUAUUGAACUUAGGAAAUAGUAGACGGAAAACAGAGAGUAUAGAGGCUAAUGCAACGUCAUCUCGGUUUGUAAUUAUCCUUUUCAGUUGUGUGUUUGUUCGCAUGAAUAACUUUAUGAUUCCCGCUACUAUAAUUUCAUUGCAUAUGAAUAUUAAAGACUUUUAAUGAGUAUAUUCAAUUAUGAUACAUCAUUAUCAUAUGUUUGGUAUUGCAACCUCUGGUUUCUUUUAACUGUAUAUUUUAAAGAGUAAUCAUUCAUAAGGGCUAAGGUUUACAAUUUAAUCAUUAAAAAUGAGAAAAUGUGUCAUUAAAUUGUGAGAGGAAAAGUUGCUUUAACUGCUGCAGUGGUAUUUGCAUCUUCCCUUAAUAGUGGUGCUAUAACUGUUUCAGCAUUGGAAAAUUAUUUCACAUUUAGCCGUUUCUGUGCCAUGUUACCUUUUUCUAAGAUAAAUUAUUUCCCAUGUAACCAGAUCACAUGCUGUUUUAGAGAUAAUUGUGAAAAGAAAGCAGAGAAACAAGUAUAGAAAUCAAGUCAUGCGAGGCAAGCUUGCACUUGUGGAUCUUGCUGGCAGUGAAAGAGCUUCUGAGGCAAACAGUGGUGGACAAAGGCUAAGGGAUGGAGCCAAUAUUAACCGUUCUCUUCUUGCUUUAGCAAAUUGCAUUAAUGCCUUAGGGAAACAGCAAAAGAAGGGUCUUGCUUAUGUCCCUUACCGCAAUGGGUAUCUUUUGCUACAUUUUAAUUUAUAUUUUGCUGAAGGGAACCAUAAAAGUUGAUGUAGGCUGAGACCUUUGUGUUAGUGUAGCUAAUAUCGGUAUUUUACAGCAAGCUAACACGCAUACUUAAAGAUGGUCUGAGCGGUAAUUCUCAGACUGUCAUGAUUGCUACGAUAUCCCCUGCGAACUGUCAGUAUCAUCAUACCAUAAAUACCUUGAAGUGUGCUGACCGAGCGAAGGAAAUAAAGACACAUAUUCAGGUGAGAUUAUGUUUAUCCAGGAAAGUAUUUAAUUAGAAUGUUGAGAUCACAUAGAUCUGAUGGAAGGCUAUUUGUUUUCUUUAUGUGAAUCAAGUAAUCAAUCACACUGGCCUUUGUAUGAACGUAGUUCCUUUCAAAGAUAAUAUGCAUAUUUUAUCCUUUUCUCAUGUGCUUCAUGUUGGAUCAUCCUGUGUUUUUUGCAAGUUCUCCAUUCUUCUGGUAGUCAGCUGAUGAGAUUUCCAAAUUUAAGAUUACAGUGUUGGAGCUCCGUUGCUAAGUGGGAACAUGGUUAUUCUUAAUUGAAUAUGCAUAAUUCAAUUGCAUUUUUCCUCAUUAUCUUCUUUUUUUCCAUUUCUUCACUUUCUAUUUCCUCAUGCACCACUGGGUUGGCUGGCACCAUCUCUUACAGAAAUUUGAAAAUUUCUUUAUUAUUUUCCUCAGAAAAAUAUUGGCAUGAUCGAUACCCAUGUGUCAGAUUACCAGAGGAUGAUUGACAGUCUUCAGACUGAGGUUUGCCGUUUAAGAAAAGAACUGGCUGAAAAGGAAUCCCAACUAAGUGUCAAACCUGCCGAAAAAGCUGUAGAUGAUGAGCUUUCAUGGUUGGACAUUUUAAGUCGUGAAACCAGUGAAAAUGUUCAGGAACGAAUAAACUUACAGAAGGCAUUAUUUGAACUUGAGGAGACUAAUCUUCGUAACCGCAGCGAACUCCAACAUCUUGAUGAUGCAAUUGCAAAACAAGAAGUUAGGUGUUGCCAGCAUCGUUCAAUCUCUUGGCUAUAUCUAGGACAGUGGACAAGAAUCAGUGAUUCAAUUUACUUAGCUAGGGUUAUAUGUGCUUGGAUUUUAUUUUUUCCAAAUGUGUUUAUCUGACAGUUCUUCAAAUAUAUUUUAUUGUUAUAAUAGCUAGGCAGCAUGGAAUGUAGAAUGUCUAACAGGAAUCCCUCUCUCUUUCCCCCAAAGUUUUAGCAAUUGUUCAUUGAGCUUUAAAUUGAAUUGGAGAGUAACUAAUAAUUGCUUCUCCUUCCCUUUUGAAAGAUGGAAGUGGUUCAUAUGGAAGAAAUAUGGGAAUGGAACUUGUGGAUAAUUCACGGGUUGUCGAAACUUGUGGAUGAUUCAUGGGUCGUUUAAAUAGUAUAAAAUUCUCUAUCACAGGCUGUCAAGAAGGAACAAUUGUAGAGGCCUUCUUUAAUUUUUAAUUCAUUCUAAUAAUGAAAUACUUUUGUCUUAACAUUUUUUGUCAUAGGCUAUUGAGAAGGAAGGAGCAUUUGUAGAGUCUUUGAAAGCAAGGCGACAAGUCAUCCUUGAUAACAUUCGUGACAAUGAUGAGGCUGGCAUCAAUUACAAAAAGGAAAUUGAAGAAAAUGAGAAGCAUAGAUGCCAACUCCAAGAUAUGAUUGAGAAAGCCAUUAGUAAGGAUGGAAGUAAAACCUACUUGUGGAUUCUUAGUCAAUACAGGCUUCUGGGAAUGGCUAAUACUGAGCUUCAGUUUGAAAUGGCAAAGAGGUAUCAAAUCAUCCACAACCAACGAGAAGCACAAAGAAACCUGUGGAACUUGCUCAUGGGAUUAGGACUUGAAGAGAAACAUUUGUUGGACUUUGCAGUUAAACAUGGAAUAAUAAUUGAAGAUUGGAUGAUGAUGCCCCAUCUUGGGAUUUCAGAUAAGAAGCAAUCCUCAGUUUCUGCUUUUGGCAGAUAUGUUCCAAUGGGAUAUAGUCAGUGCUCUAGUCAAUCAUUUUCUGGAUCUUGCAUCUUCCAACACUAUCAAGAUUUUGGUUCAAGAUCAUUUUCCAGGGGGCCUUGGGAUGCCAGUGGUACUUUUUGCAGGGAAGAGCACCAUAGUUCCUAUUACAUGCUGUCUAAUGAUCUAUCCCCUCCUGCAUAUCUGAGGCUGAGGAAGAGUGCUAACCAUUGGAUUGGUGGUGCCCCAGAUUCCUGGUUUGGCACACCUGCUAAGCGUCCUCAAAAUUUGCGCAGUUCAUGCCCAGAGCUGAGAAAUUGGACUUCCCCUUGUUGCGAAGGCUUCCCAUCAGGUUCAUCUCUCAGUGCUGAUUUAAGCUAUCAGCAUAAGGUAUGGAUACAAUCAUUAUGCUAGUGUCUGUGUGUGUAUUCUCCUUCUCCUUCUCUCCCCCUCCCCUUUUAAAUUGCUCCCAUCCCAGACAUAGUUCAACAGCUAAAUUAUUUGUAACUAAUUAAUUUAGGGUGAGUGAGAUUAUUAUCCAUCUUUGGUUCUUGCUCAUUUAUGCAUCUUUUCUAGCAGAUCCAAUCUUAGGAACCAUAUCAUGACAAAUUUUAGCUGUUUUUGAAGUUUUUAUCAUUUGAUCUGUGUUAGCCUUCUCAUACAGGAAACAUGGAACAAUGCUUCAAGGCAACAUCUAUAUAAGAGUCCUAAUGCUGGAAUGAGUGGCGGCCAAACAAUGAUGGCUAAUGGUGGAACAGCUCGAGGUUCCUCGGCACAGCUCUCAGGUCUGCACAGCUCAAACCAUAUUUUUCAGCACACUGAACCCUCUAGUGGCCCAAAUAUAUCACAUGUUCCUUCAUUUGCUACUGCGGGAACAAAUCUCUUUUGUAACCCCUAGUUCUGACACCAAAAUUCACCCCUUAAAUUUUGUAUAGAUGUCUUGCUUUUUCAGUAUCCUUUGUAUGCUAUUCUUUUGAUUUUUGCCCCCAUCAGUUGUACAUAUCAAGAGUAGCAUAGGAUAGGAGUAUUGUCAAUGUAGAGCAGGUGGCAGUUGAUUCUUUUGCUUCCCUUUUCAGAGGAAGGAUAAAGGUUUAGUUUGUAAUUAGUAAUUAGUUGGAUAUACCCUUACAUGCGAAGUUGCUAGCAUGUUGAAUGUAGUAGUCAUUAGGGGUGUAAAAUUUCGGUUCAGGGUUUGCUGAAAUUUCAGUACGGAUUUGAUUUGAUUUUUCAUUGUUUUAAUCAUGAUUCAGUAUGAUAAUUAAUUUUUCGAUU